AGGAGCCUGUUCUGUAAUCGAUAAUCCGCGUUUAACCUCACCAUCUUUAGUUAAUCAGCCUGUAUACCUCCGUCGUCAGCUUACCACGUGAGCGCAAAUUAGUGGGCCCAAUGUUAUUACACCAAUACGUCAGGUCAAGGUGCAGCAAAUAAGAUGGGAAGAGAUGGGCUACACUUUCUAUUUUAGAAAAAACGGAAAACUACCUAUGAAACCUAGUUGGAAGGCGGAUUUAGCAGUAAAAAGGAAUCAACACGUCCAUUUUAACUUGGCACUGGGGUGUGU
Molecule: ribosomal RNA, 282 nt
Filed under: Sclerophrys pusilla (lesser cross-marked toad)
Lineage: Eukaryota; Metazoa; Chordata; Amphibia; Anura; Bufonidae
Description: partial 12S ribosomal RNA
Source: RNAcentral